Molecule: ribosomal RNA, 301 nt
Filed under: uncultured bacterium
Lineage: Bacteria
Description: partial 16S ribosomal RNA
Rfam family: Bacterial small subunit ribosomal RNA
Source: RNAcentral
CAGUAGCCGCGGUAAUACAGAGGGUGCGAGCGUUAAUCGGAUUUACUGGGCGUAAAGCGUGCGUAGGCGGCUAAUUGAGUCGGAUGUGAAAUCCCCGAGCUUAACUUGGGAAUUGCAUUCGAUACUGGUUAGCUAGAGUGUGGGAGAGGAUGGUAGAAUUCCAGGUGUAGCGGUGAAAUGCGUAGAGAUCUGGAGGAAUACCGAUGGCGAAGGCAGCCAUCUGGCCUAACACUGACGCUGAGGUACGAAAGCAUGGGGAGCAAACAGGAUUAGAUACCCCAGUAGUCCCUGUCUCUUAUAU